UAAAAUAUCUUAUAGUCAGCAAGAACCGAUUCAAAUCUGUUUGGCUUUACUCUUAGGAAUGUUCUCUUUCUGUUAAAAGGACUAAGAUCGUUCCUGGGCUGCCGACUCCAUGGAGGAAAAGAGUUCUGGAUAAAGAGAAACUUUGUACAUGUAUAAUCAUUUCCAGGAUACUCACAUGCUACACAGAAUUGAAAGAUGCCCAAUUUUGCUAUUAAAAAAAUGAAGUUAUAAUUUUCUAGUGCAGAGUGACUGCACAGGAAGACUAUCAUAAGCAAUAUACCAAAGCGCUAACAGAAGCAUACUUUAUUAAAGAAACAAACACUGGAAAUGUGGAUUCUUUUUGAGAAAUAAUCUUCCUCUUCACUGAUUGAUAGAUAUGAAGAAACCAGAUUUCUAUACCAACUAAUGGAAAAUUAACCACUGGUGAGUCUAGUUCCAAUCCCAAAUCAAGGACACACAUGUUUGUUAGUACUGAUUCUGUCCACUCAGUUGAAACAUUCCCAUUCCUGAACGAGAUUAGCUACUGAAAUUCUAAAAAUGCUCAUUUUCCUGGGUAUCCUCUUUUGUCAAAGGGUUUAGUAUUUAUUAUGUUUGGUAUUUACAGUAAUUGACAUUUACGAAAAGUGGAGAGACCAGAGAAAACACUCCAUAGUAUGUAAGACCUUUAUCUCUUUCUUUUUAAAUGUUCUUAGUAGACUGUAAUACUAAGCA
Long non-coding RNA from Balaenoptera musculus (blue whale), 711 nucleotides. RefSeq lists it as uncharacterized. NCBI's taxonomy places the organism in Eukaryota, Metazoa, Chordata, Mammalia, Artiodactyla, Balaenopteridae. The transcript is spliced from 3 exons. The record is from RefSeq and is a predicted model, not a curated record.